Molecule: long non-coding RNA, 804 nt
Organism: Mustela erminea (ermine)
Lineage: Eukaryota; Metazoa; Chordata; Mammalia; Carnivora; Mustelidae
Exons: 4
Source: RefSeq, a predicted model, not a curated record
UGUACAGAGAAGCCAGGUAAACACCAGCAGGAAGAAGUCUGCUGCAAGCCAGAAAGAAAAGCCUCACCAGAAACCAUGUCUACUUGUACCUUGACCUUGAACUUCUAGCCUCCUCAACAGUAAGAAAAUAAAUGUUUGCUACUUCAGCCACCUGUACUGUGCCGGCUAUUUGGUUCUGAAGUUUAUGAAUCCUUUUUGGACAUAUGUAUUCUGGAAAUGAAUUCUGCCCUAAGCAAUAUGAUUCAUCAGGAGCCUACGGGUUCAAGAGAAACUGGACAACAAGAAGAAUUCCAUAUUUGGGAAAGACUGAGAGAUCAACAACUGUGACAAUGUCCAGGAUGAGGACAGGUUAGGAAUUAGGAGUCUCAAUUUACAAGCUGCACCUGAAUCUCUAUUUGAUAUUAAGAAUCAGGAUAAGAAUAGGUGUAACCAUCAUGAAGUCCAAAUUAUUUCUUCAUUUUCUUGUGCAAAAGAAAUUAAUCGGAAUGCUAUAAGAAGCCAGAAGAUGAUGUCAACAAAAUAAAGGAAUAGGAAGCCUCAACCUUCAUCCCUUACGACAACACUAAUUUGGCAGUCAUUUCUGAUAAAAGUGCAUUUGGGGGGAGCUGUGAGAUCCACCUUAAAGGCUGCGUUAUCCUGGUGGAGACCAAGAACAGCAGCUUUAAGAAGGCAAGAUGCUCCCUGCUGGCAGACAAGCCGAACACAGAUCUGAGUGCAGAUGUGCUGUGGAAAGAGCUCUAUGACUGUUUUAGUCCCACUCCAUCAUGUCCCAGAGAGUCUCUUCCACCCACGUACCUAGCCGGA